This 128-nucleotide non-coding RNA is filed under the name Heyndrickxia ginsengihumi. RNAcentral's name for it is "Bacillus ginsengihumi SAM-I sequence". It matches the Rfam family "SAM riboswitch aptamer (S box leader)". From Rfam's summary of the family: The SAM riboswitch is found upstream of a number of genes which code for proteins involved in methionine or cysteine biosynthesis in Gram-positive bacteria. The SAM riboswitch acts at the level of transcription termination control. The record is from Rfam by way of RNAcentral. Lineage: Bacteria; Bacillati; Bacillota; Bacilli; Caryophanales; Bacillaceae.
CUCUUAUCCCGAGCUGGUGGAGGGACGGGCCCAAUGAAACCCAGCAACCGGCCUCUAGAAAAGCAAUAUGGCUUAUUCUAGGCAAAGGUGCUAACCUGUGGCAAGGAAACCCCCUUGAACGAUAAGAG